This 1077-nucleotide long non-coding RNA is filed under the name Strigops habroptila (Kakapo). Its description in RNAcentral is "lncRNA (ENSSHBG00005008798.1)". Lineage: Eukaryota; Metazoa; Chordata; Aves; Psittaciformes; Psittacidae. The record is from RNAcentral.
CUCCCCGCCAGCCCGUGGCCACGACGAGACGCUGCUCGCCUGGUGUACCUGCCGUGCUGUUCCCAUAAGACUGCUGGCUCUCUCUGGUUUCCUUUUCUUCUCCUUUGGGUUUCUUUUUCAUUUUUAUUUUUUUAAUGGCGGUCAUGGCGGUUCGGGGCGGUCUGUGGGGACAGGGAGGUGGGAAGGGGAAAGUUUUAGGUGGACGCCGUCGGAAGUUCAGGGAAAAGUAAUGGCGAGUUUGUCUCCAGGUUGGCUGGUAGCAGUUUGUCCGAGACAGGCAGCUGGCCCUAGAGCCUGGUAGUCGGUGAAAUGUGCCCACGUUAAUCCCUUUGGCAGUAUCUUUUACGAAAUAACCCACUCACGGUGUAUAAAACACAACGGAAAAAUAGCACAGGUAUGACCAAACUGAUUUGUACAUACAGUUAUUUUGAUGACACGUCCUCGGCGUUGACAGGGUAUUACGUUUCCCAAAGCUGUAAGGACAGGUCUCAGGUUUGCUGGACGUAGGAGAGACAGACAGCUCGCAUCUCACAGACAUUUCGGUUCAUGUAGUGGGUACAACAGACAAUGGGAACCCAAAUACACAAAAUGGCAAUGGGUUGAUAUCAUUUGGCAAAGGAAACAAGCGAGGGGAAAGACUAGUAAUCAUCCUUAAUCCCUUGUCAUUAUUAAAAUUAUAGUGUCGCUGGUAAGACGCACAUACCAGAUGCAUCUGAAGGUGUCGGGGAUGAUGGAUUUAGUACAAAGGAGCAGUGUAUGCUGGGUGACAUCGAGAGAACACCUGUUCCCAGCGCUGAAGCAUUCCGAUGGUUCUUUUAAGCAGUAGUGUAUCUUAUUUUCAAGGCAUUCGGAAGUGAAUGGCAAGCUAAAGUCUUGUUUUAAGAAACUGCUUAGUCCACCAUUGAAGAACAUACUCAGAUACUAUUUUCAUUUAUGUAUAGGGGUUUCCUCAAAAGCAAAAAGUCAAAAAUCUGGGAGCCUGGGGAAUUGGCCAGCUUCUUCACAUUCAGUACACCGAUUCUUUCUUUGAUGUAACUUAGCUAUUCUAGUGAAGUUGUUGUCUAUUUUUAAAGUGGC